RNAcentral lists this ribosomal RNA (1510 nucleotides) under metagenome. Its description in RNAcentral is "bacterial SSU rRNA". It matches the Rfam family "Bacterial small subunit ribosomal RNA". The record is from RNAcentral.
AGAGUUUGAUCCUGGCUCAGAACGAACGCUGGCGGCGUGCCUAAUACAUGCAAGUCGAACGAGAAUUCCCGGCUUCGGUUGGGAUAGUAAAGUGGCGAACGGGUGAGUAACACGUGGAUAACCUGCCUGUGCAACCGGAAUAAUCCCUCGAAAGGGGGCUUAAUACCGGAUAAUAUCUCGAAGCGGCAUCGCUUUGAGAUCAAAGACGGGGCAACCUGUCGUGUACAGAUGGAUCCGCGCCCCAUUAGCUAGUUGGCGGGGUAACGGCCCACCAAGGCUGAGAUGGGUAGCCGGCCUGAGAGGGUGAACGGCCACACUGGGACUGAGAUACGGCCCAGACUCCUACGGGAGGCAGCAGUAGGGAAUAUUGCGCAAUGGACGAAAGUCUGACGCAGCAACGCCGCGUGGAUGAUGACGCAUUUCGGUGUGUAAAAUCCUGUCAGUGGGGAAGAAAAGCAUGAGGAGUAACUGCCUCAUGCCUGACGGUACCCGCAGAGGAAGUCCCGGCUAACUCCGUGCCAGCAGCCGCGGUAAUACGGGGGGGACAAGCGUUGUUCGGAUUUACUGGGCGUAAAGGGCGCGUAGGCGGGCCUUCAAGUCGGGUGUGAAAUCUGGUGGCUUAACCACCAGUCUGCAUUCGAUACUGUUGGUCUUGAGUACGGGAGAGGAGAAUGGAAUUUCAGGUGUAGCGGUGAAAUGCGUAGAUAUCUGAAAGAACACCAGUAGCGAAGGCGGUUCUCUGGACCGAUACUGACGCUGAAGCGCGAAGGCUUGGGGAGCAAACAGGAUUAGAUACCCUGGUAGUCCAAGCGGUAAACUAUGGGUACUAGGUGUCGGAGGUAUCGACCCCUCCGGUGCCGCAGCUAACGCAAUAAGUACCCCGCCUGGGGAGUACGAUCGCAAGAUUGAAACUCAAAGGAAUUGACGGGGGCCCGCACGAGCGGUGGAGUAUGUGGUUUAAUUCGACUCAACGCGCAGAACCUUACCUGGGUUUGACAUGCACGGGACCGACGGUGAAAGUCGUCUUCCUCUUCGGAGGCCCGUGGACAGGUGCUGCAUGGCUGUCGUCAGCUCGUGCCGUGAGGUGUUGGGUUAAGUCCCGCAACGAGCGCAACCCUCAUCCACAGUUGCCAUCAGGUAAUGCUGGGAACUCUGUGGAGACUGCCGGUGACAAGCCGGAGGAAGGUGGGGAUGACGUCAAGUCAUCAUGGCCCUUACGCCCAGGGCUACACACGUACUACAAUGGCCGGUACAGAAGGACGCAAGACCGUGAGGUGGAGCCAAUCCCCAAAGCCUGCCUCAGUUCAGAUUGGAGUCUGCAACUCGACUCCAUGAAGGUGGAAUCGCUAGUAAUCGCUGAUCAGCAGGCAGCGGUGAAUACGUUCCCGGGCCUUGUACACACCGCCCGUCAAGCCACGGAAGUUGGGAGCACCCGAAGUCGUUUGCCUAACCGCAAGGAGGGCGGCGCCGAAGGUGAUACUGAUGACUGGGGCUAAGUCGUAACAAGGUA